Molecule: long non-coding RNA, 1415 nt
Organism: Pteropus alecto (black flying fox)
Lineage: Eukaryota; Metazoa; Chordata; Mammalia; Chiroptera; Pteropodidae
Exons: 3
Source: RefSeq, a predicted model, not a curated record
UUCGCCUGGAAGGAGAUCAGCUCAGCCCAGGAUCCGAGAGGACCCCAAAUAUGUGCUUCAAGGGCCUCAGAUUCCCUUUGCCUGAGGAGGUGGAGGGGCUAACGUCCGUCUGGUCUUGAGAGUGCAGGGUCUCUGCCCACCCCACCCCACCCCACCCCAAACCCAGGGGUACAAUCCGAAUCUGCCCUGUGUCUGCACAGCUGUGGCUGCUCGGCUCAGGAGAGACCCCAUCACACAACGGGGUGCAGUGACCGUGCCGAAGACACCCAUGUGGGCUCCGUUGUUUGGGGCUCGGGAACCCCUUCCCUAUGAGCUGAGUUAUGUAACUUGGGGGAGAGUCGGGGGACUGAAGUCUGUGUCUCUCUUCAGACGACGCGCUUCCGCCUUCUCUUCCAUCCUUUGGUAACGGGGGUGGGAGGGUCCCAGCCCCCUAGGGAGGUCCCCAGUGGGGUCUGAGGCUUUCUCUGCAGCAAAGUGGGCCGGACUGCGGUAGCAGAAAUGAAGGUGCAUCUGUGUGCAGUUUCUCUCAGUGAGGAGUGAGCUCCUUGAGCCUCCUGUCUCUAUAGCCACAGGCUGGACCAGUCGCUUCCCAAUCUCUGGGAGGCUGCAAAAGUAAUGGACCAGUUCAUAACUAUUGUUUUUUAAAUCUGAAAGAAAACAAAAUUAGGAAAUAGUGUAGUGUUCACACAGAAUCUCAUCGAUGAUUGUGUAAUGCAACUUUCUUUUGGACUGUGUGUAAUCCACAUAACGACGUAAUAUCAAUUUUUCCUAGUGAGUCGAAGCCAGUUAGCAGAGGAAUGUAGGAAAAAUUCCAGCCACCGCCUCGCUGCCUCCUUUCCUGAGAGCCAGUGACUUCAGCUACCUAUCAUGCCAUCCAGUAAGGAAUCCAGCUGUCACGUCCUUGGUUCCAGGUGUUUCCUGGGGAGGCCGAAGGCAGGCUUGGCACCCAGCCUGGCCGUCUCUGCCAGGAACGAGGAAAAGAUCUUUUGAAGCAUUUUCAGAAAAUGAAAGAAGUCAGAGAAAACGAAGAACCCACAAUGCCCUUUGUCCUCACCAAUCAAACUUCAGAACAAUGGACAUCAUGAGAGGUUGACUCUGAAGACCGCCGGCGGGGAGUCGGGGUAGAGCUAAGCGACUCUGGUGACAGGCCGGCCUGAUCUGGAGAGAGAAAUGUGAAGUCGUGUGGUGGAGGUGAAGCUGGCAUCAUCCCGGGGGGAGGAUGGAAAAUAGCUCUGGGCCCCUUGUGAGAAGAGGCCGCCUAGGGCUGAGUUGUUUGGAGGGGUGAGUAAGAAGCUCAGUGAGCUUGGCAUGGAGUUUGAGGAGUCAGGGCUCCGGAAGCCCUCAUGGGAGGGGCCCGACAUGACCCCCCUCUCCUCAGGUGCAGCCAUGGCUGAGAACCCUGCCGCUCCCAGGAC